Long non-coding RNA from Bos taurus (domestic cattle), 3851 nucleotides. Lineage: Eukaryota; Metazoa; Chordata; Mammalia; Artiodactyla; Bovidae. The record is from Ensembl.
CGUGGUCAGUGCUGUGAGAGAGGGGCAGACGGUCCUCUGAGAGAAUGUAACUGAAGGAUUCAAUCUAGAUAAAGGGGAUCCAGAAAAGUCAAAUUGUCAUUGACAACGAAUGGAUGACGAGAACCCUGACAGGUGAAAAUGAACUCUGAUGUGUUCCAUGCCGUCCAUCUGCCAAGGACUGAGGACCAUCAGCGAGCAGGUGUCCAGUGAAGGAAACGCCUCGGCUUCUCUCGAGGGCCCUGCAAAACAGUGGGUGAGUUCCAUCUGCCCAACCGCACUCCAGGAACACAGAAUUACUCUUUUUUUCUGCUUUGCAUCUGCGGUGUCUGAAGGAUUCUCAAGCCAAGAGCGCACCUGCUUCUCAGUCUCUGUUCCUAAAAGAACUCAGGAGCAGCGUGUGUCAGUGUGAUCCAGCCCAGCCGGACGUCCUCACUUUACCUGCAAGCCUGAGAUGGACUCUUCCGCUCCGCAGUGCACAGUGCAAGCCCACAUAUAGGUUUGGGCCUCCUCUUCCCUCCCCAGAGUGUGCACGGUGCAUCUGCAUUUAGUGUGACCCACAUCUUCCCCAUGGCCACCUCCUGGCAGCAGCUACAUAACUUCUCCAGGGGAUCUUCCCAACCCAGGGAUCAAACCCAUGUCUCCUGCAUUGGCAGGCGGAUUCUUUUACCAGUGAGCCACCUGGGAAUCCCAAAUGUUUACUUAGGAUCUUAUUAAUGUUACUAGCUAUAUUAUAAGAUUAUUAUUUCUUGCGUUUCCAAAUGUAUGACUGAGCCUCAGAUAAAAAUUAAGAUGAUUAGGCAACUUGAAACAACUGACCAGAUUUAUAGUUCUAUAAGAGCAGUGACUGUAAUGGUUUAACUCUAGAAAUGGUAAGACGCAACCAGAAGGAACCAUUUUCAGGACCAUAACAGACUAGUUAAGACAGGUGGUCCAGAGGCUUUGGAUUACUGUUAAGGUGGCCUAGUCUGGAAUAGCACAGUAAAUGGCCUAGCAACGAAAUCCUUGGCUGACCUGGGGGUGGGCAUUCCAAGCAUAGGAAGACAAAAUGCUUCCCAAAUCUUGGUCAAAAUUAAGACCAAAAGGGAAGGGUCUGUACAAUAGAGAAUGUUGCUUACCAUCCAAUUCUCCUAGAAUCAAGCCCCUACAGUCACAGACCUAUAACACAUUUUGAAAGGAAUUCAGGGUGAAGAUCAGGAUGAGGUACUCUGUGCUCUGGAAAACUGACAGAACUGGCCCUAUGGUAGUUAGAUAUUUUCAGGAGAAGUUUUUUAUACAGAUCUUCCCAACUUGGAGAAGCACUAGACCCAUUAACUAGGAUGCCUGUUCGUCAUGGCUGGCAGCACCCUUCUCCUGAGAUGAAUGCUUGGUUUCAGGUACUCAUCACCAGAAUCACGUAUCCUGACCUCCCCCACCUCCACCUCUUCAGAACAGUUCUCAGUGCUUUCUGAGAGACUGUCUUGUCUCCUGGGCUACAGUCCUCAGUCUGGCUCACAUAAAAUUUUCCAUGUUUUCUUAGAUUGACUGUUGAUCACUUUUUGUUGACACUUAUAAGAACAAUGCAUGAACAGAGCAAGAAUCUCAACAAAGAAAAAGAAAGUGUAAGAAACUACCAAACAGAAAUCACAGAGCUGAAGAAUAUAAUGACUGAACUGAAAAAUACAAUAAAGGAGUUCAACAAUAGAUUCAACGAAGCACCAGAAAAGAUCAGUAAACUCUAAGACAGGGACAGCAGUGGAACUCAUCCAAUCAGAGCAGCUAACAGAAAAAGGAAUUUAAAAACAGUGAAGAGAGUUUAAAGGACUUGUGGUAAAACAUCAAGUAGAUCAAUAUUUACAUUAUAGGCAUCCCAGAAGGAGAAGAAAGAAAGGGGUAAAAGACUUAUUUGGAGAAAUAAUGGCUGAAAACUUCCUAACCUGAGGAAGAAAACAGAAGUUCAGAUCCAGAAAGCCCAGAGACUUCCAAAUAAACCCAAGGGAACCCACACCAAGAUACAUUAUAAUUAAAUUGUCAAAAGAGAAAGAACGGUUACAAGGCAAUAUUUAGAAAAGUGAGCAGGGAGAAAAGAAAUUCAAUAGCUUAACAUCUGGACAUUUAAACUGUUGGAGGUUUUGAAUUAUCCACGUUACCCUUACUUUGCUGAUUAUUCUUCAGCUAUUUCCAGUGUGUCCCAAAUUGGAGGCAAAAUAUCCCUAUUUAUUUAGAAACUGUCUAAUCCUUGAGCAACUCUAUUUUUUUUUUUUUUUUUUGCAAUAUACUGGUUAGGUCAACACUCCAUAUACUAUGAAGCCAAAGCAUUUCAAAAUUAACAGGCUUAAAAAAUUGCCUGAGCAGUUGGGCUGGGGAGGGAUGCUGGGGGAGUAAAACAAAGAAUGGCCAUUUGAAAUAACCAUCCAAGACUGAGGUCAAAGGGAAGCAGAGAGAUUUUAGGUUCAGCAUAAAUUUGUAUUUCAGAGUAUCACACACAGAGUACAAACACACAUGGCAUUUAUCAGCUUCCCCCAUCCCAGGUUAUAUUCAAUUUUAAACUUCACAAUUUAAAAAGCAGCUACAUCUGUCGAUACAAAAUAUAUACACUUGACUGUACACUGAGUUGGCAAGGAGGUACCACUAAUUUUGUUGUGUUACUUAGCAGCAGCAGAAGGAAACCAGUGUUGCCCAGAUUCAAAGGUAUAAGAAAGUGAAAGUGGUCAGUGAGUUAGGGCCAGAAGGUGAAAGUGAGGGAAUGAGGGGAAACUAAAAAGAUAAACCAAGGACUUCUGCUCCCAUCCACUUUGGGGAAAUUGGGAUCAGACUCACCCUGCCAUCAUAGACAACUGGAAACUGGAGAUCCUGUGUGAAACAAAGAUUUUCAAACUGGGAAACACGCAACACAGAUCCAUGAGCCCUGUGAAAGAGGCUAAACUAAGUGAAUCCCGUUGUUGCUUCAGCUUUCUGCCUGGGGGCACCUACAAGCCAUGGUGCAGAAGGGACUCCUCCUGAAGAAUACAGAAGUCUUGAAAUGAGGAUCAGAGAUUAGAGUUUGGGGAAGCUGAGAAACUGGAAUUUGUGGCACAGAGUUCAUCAGAAGGUUGCUGCCCAGACAAAGAGAACCAGGUUCCCAGUUGUGGAGGCCCUGGAGACUCUGGCUGAAUGCUAAGUCGUGUGUGCAGAAGAUGAAAUCCCCUAGGUCUAAGCAAAGAACUCCCAGGGAGCUGUAAGAUGAACAAGUCCUAGAGCUCCCAGGAGAAUUGAGUUCUAACCAAUCAGAGGAAAAGACUUCGGUGAACAUACAAGCAUCCAGUCAAUACCUCAGAAGAGUCAUAUCACCAUAGGAAGGCUUAACUAGCCUUAGAAUAGAGGCUGAAGUCCUUUAAAAUAAGAUUCCAAAGUAUCAAACUGAUCCGUAAGGAACUUAACUGCCUGCCAGGACAAAGUCCCUAUUAAGUCAACAAAAUCUAGGCACACAACAACAUACAUUAGCAAUGUCUAGCAUCCAAUUUAAAAAUUACUAGAUAAGGCAAGAAAUAAGAAAAUGUGACCCUAAACUGGAGAAAACUCAUUUGAAGGAAACAAACCAAGAAAGGAAAGAAAAUGGAAUUCAGAGAGAAGCAUAAUAAAAUAGCUAUUAAAAUAUGUUCAGUAUGCUCAAGGAUUUAAAGAAAAACAAAUCUAAUGAGAAAAAGGAAAGAUUCCAGAAAACCAUAUGGAAAUUCUAGAGAUAAAGUAUCCAAAAUGAAAAAAAAAAAUUUAGAUUUUAUGUGAUUAUUUAAAAUUUUUCCAGUUUUAUUGAGAUAUAAUUGACAACAAACAGCCCAAUCAAAAAAUGGGCAGAAGACCUAAAUAGACAUUUCUCUAAAGGAGAUAUACAGGUG